Neopelma chrysocephalum (saffron-crested tyrant-manakin) is the source of this 143-nucleotide long non-coding RNA. RefSeq lists it as uncharacterized. Lineage: Eukaryota; Metazoa; Chordata; Aves; Passeriformes; Pipridae. The transcript is spliced from 3 exons. The record is from RefSeq and is a predicted model, not a curated record.
UUUGCCUUAUGUUCUGCUGUUCACACCUCCCUCCAUCUAAAUUAGCCACUCUGGCUACACUCUGCUACUUCUGCUUUACCUUCUCUCUCCUGAUCUCUCCCCAGUCGCCAGUGGGGUUGCCAGUGGGGUGCAGAUGGAUGGUG